This 215-nucleotide long non-coding RNA is filed under the name Cucumis sativus (cucumber). RNAcentral's name for it is "long non-coding RNA (CSAT_LNC001735)". The record is from RNAcentral. Lineage: Eukaryota; Viridiplantae; Streptophyta; Magnoliopsida; Cucurbitales; Cucurbitaceae.
AGGAUGAGGGUUUAAGUAAUGAGCUUGGUUGCUGCCAGAUACUGAAUUGUAAUCUUUGCUUAACACGUUUUUGCUUUGAUUACUUUUAGGCUCUAAUGGAUUUUCACUAAGAAGAUAAAACUUCAAAUCACGGUCAUUGCUUAACUCAAAUGGAGGAGCUUCGUGUUCCACUUUUAUCUCAUAUAUGCAUCUUAUCAUUACGUCGAACUUUGAAG